Molecule: transfer RNA, 77 nt
Filed under: Pantanalinema sp. GBBB05
Lineage: Bacteria; Bacillati; Cyanobacteriota; Cyanophyceae; Leptolyngbyales; Leptolyngbyaceae
Also listed under: 1 other name
Description: tRNA-Leu
Rfam family: tRNA
About the family: Transfer RNA (tRNA) molecules are approximately 80 nucleotides in length.
Source: RNAcentral
ACUCCUGUAGCCCAAUCGGAAGAGGCGGCUGUCUCAAAAAUAGUCACGUGUGGGUUCGAUUCCCACCAGGAGUACCA